CCUUGCCCCCAUCCCAUACAUAUCCCUGAGUCCCUGUUUUCGGGGAAGCAGAUUUGAGAUUCAUUCUCUCACUUGCUCACUUGGCUGCCUUGUGAUUAAAACCCUCUCUCUGAUACAAUCUUGUCCUCUUGGUUUUUGGCUUUCCGGGUGACGGGCAAAAACCAACCUGGGUUUGGUAACAAUCUUCCCUUUUUCAAGACUAUGAAAAACCAACACACAACGCCUCGUGUUUGAAACCAAGCACAAUGGGAGAGUGAUCCUAAAAUCAAAAUCUAAAGGAAAGCAAGUCUACGUCCACAAGAAUGUUCUCUGAAGCCUACGGAUAAUAAAAUACAGAAACAAUUGCCAUCUUAUGACCCGCCUCUUCCCACUGUGAGAAAAACCACAGUGAUGAAUGACAUCAGGGAGAGCACAGUGUUGGGCGAAUUCUACAGCAGACUCUUGAAAGAGAUGUGUGUGUCAAUAUCCUCUCUGUCAUUCAUUUGUCAGUCCUUUCACUGAAGCUAAAAAUAUUCUUUGAGCACCUACUAUGUGCCAGGUACUGUUCUUGAUUCUGGGCUAUAGGCUUCAAUAAGAUUGAAAAAGUCUCUGUCCUCUAGAAACAGAAAGAGGGAGAAAAAUAAAUCAUAUAAUUUCAGGUAAUACUUCUAAAGUAUUAUGAACAUAUUUCUUUCAGUGAAAGGCCCUUUGAUAACAGCAAGAUUAUCAUGAGCAAGGAACAAAAGAAGGUUGAAUUUGCUGCGGCAUCAUGAGUGAUAUGUUCUGGAGGCCGGGCCCAGAUACCCAAUAAGGCCUUGGGAGGCCACAGUAAGGAGUUCACAUCUUAAAUGUAAAGGGCAGCCUGGAAGGAUUUGAGUGGAGAAAUGCGGAGAUUUAAUUUUCCUUUUAUUAAGGCUUCCUGUAACUGCUGUGUAGAAGACAGACUCUAAGGAGACAAGAAUUGGAGCAGAGAGACCCAUUUGAAAGUUAUUACACUGGUCCACCAUGCGAUGGCGGCCAACUGGACCAAGGCAUAGCAGUGGAUACAGCACGUGCAGCAGCAAGUGGAGAGCAGGGUCAGAUUCCGAACACAAUUUGAAAAUUGAGCCAAGAGGAGUUAUUUAAUGUGUUUAAUAAAUAAUCAGAAAGAUUUAUAGUGACUGUGAGGUUGUCACAAUUGGAAAAGAAUAUGUUCUUUCAGUGUAAUGCCCUUAAUUCUGUAAUCCUUAAAUAGGUUGGUAACAUUGUAGAAAUUUCUUUUUUAUACCAUCUUAAUAUGAAAAUUAGCGGAGAUGAUCUAAUAUUACAUAAUGAAAGCAAAAUUACCAUUUACUCAUUUGACCAUAACUGUUUUAAGAAGUAAGACCAAUAAACACUCCACCGAGCUACACUACUAAGCUUGUAGAAAGCAAACAAAUGCCUCAAUGCUCUAAUAUAAACCACUUCCCGAGGGAGUCGGUUCAUCACCUUAGCAAAAUGUUGACUUCACAAGAUUAGAUACACAUAUAUUUUGGUUGGUUGGACUCAAAUUAUGUUGGUUUUAAUGAACGCUGUUGAUUUCAUUUCAAAGUUACCUGAUUUUACUGCAGCAUGGGCAUGGGGAGAAUCAAACAUCAGGUACUUGUUAAUAUAAAUUUCUCUGUCCUUGUCAUUUUCCAGCAUAAGAACAAGGAAAAGGGUGGGUGAUGGUAGCAGGGACUCUAGGGUUAAUGGACAAGAUUAUUGCCACACCAAGAUUUCAAAUUCACUGUUACAUGGCUCAGCACUUUCAAGAAUGAUUGUGUGUAUGUGUAUCUGUGUAGCUGGGGACACUGAGCGGAAUGGUGCCCUGGCUUUGUGAGCUGCUGUAUGAAAAGUAGAAUUAAAGGCUCAGAGAUGACAAUAAAAAGAAUGAAAGAAGAACACCUAACAAAAUUCUAAACCUCCCAAUCUGAUUGGCUUUUUGUAAUCAGUCAUCUCCUAAAUAUAUUUUAUUAUGCAAGGUUACCCGCCAUCUUUCCGUGCUCCCAGUCUGACACAUAUUAACGUGUUGCAUAGCUAGUGUUCUAUGGACAUCAUUAACCUCUUUCUACCUUAAAGGCCUCUGUCCUCACUGUGGUGAUUAAGAGAGGAGGUGAGGGACAAAGACUCCCUGGGUUGGAGUCUCAGUUCUCCAUUGGCUAGCUAUCUGGCAUCUGGAAAUUGAUUUUAUCUCUUGGCAAAUCAGGUUCCUCAUCUGUGAAGAGAAGUUGAUAACUGUAGCUAACUCAAAAGAUUGUUAUGAGAAUUAAGUGAGAUAAUGCAGGUAGAGAGUUGUGCAAUAAGAGUUCAGUAAAUUAUAGUUAUUCCACUCUGCCAUAAGAAUCACAUUUUGGUGAUAAUAGGAAGACAACAUCUCUGAACCCAGCAGAAUUUUGUGUGAAAGACAACAUUAUUAAGAGAUUGCAGAAAGCAAUGAACGAAUAUUUUUUGAAUCUCUACAACAAUGUGCUAGGAGCUGUGAUGGAGCUGUGCCUCUUCAUUUGAUACAACAUCUGGCAAAGCAUGCAUCAUUAAUUCCAAUUUACAAAUGAGAUCACUGAGGUCAGAGAGGUCAACAAUAUGGCACAGUCGCACAGCUAGUGGAUAGAAGAAUGGAGAUUUCACCAAUGUCUACCUGAGAAAAGAGCAAUUUACCCAUAAUAUACUACAAAUUCUGUUAGGCAACAUUAGUGGAAAUUCCCAGCUCUGAAUUACUAGAUCCAUGAAUAUUCCGUCCUCCAUGGCUCUCAUUCUGAACAAUGAGAAGUAUCAAUCCUCUGUGAAACGCUGGCCACAUGCAGUUAACUCUGCUACAGCAUUAAUAUUCUCAUUGUUCAAUACAGUAGUUCAUUCUAAACAGUUCAAAGCAGUUCAUUGUAAAAAAUAAAAUCUAUUAAUUAGAUGCAUCAGUCAGGUUCAAAAUAUUGUAUCAGAGCCUAUUGGUACUUGGAAACUCCCAUGCAAUAACGAACCCAAUGCUAGAAGCUGGUAGCUGCACUAUAAAAGCAAAAUUAGAGAAUGCAACUUCAUUGAAUUUAAAAGAGAUAUUGUAUUGUUAAAAUACUUAGCAUAAGUAAAAUACUUAAGCAUAAGUAUAAUAAAAUAUAUGCUUUAUUUAAUAACACUCUUGGUAUAUUUAAGGUCAUUUUGCUUGACUUCUCAAAGACAGCAAAAACAUACACAUGGUAGAUAUGCAGCUAACUCUAAAAGAGUAUUUCUCAGUCAGGUGUUACAUCCAGAUGGACUCCUGUAAUGUUUGGUGAUACUACAGUCAGCUAGUCUCACUCUCACCUUCAUUAUAAAGGUGAACACCUCAUGUGUUCAUGUUUUAACUCCUUCAGAAGCUGUGAUGUUUCUUUAAAUUGAAAGAAUGAUAGAAUGAUGCUGGGGGAUGCUAAAACAUUGAGUAUGAGUUAGAAUGCUUGGAGAGAUAUAAAUACAAGUAUGUCAAAUGAUUGAGACACACUAGAAUGAGGAAGAAAGAAAUGUGGAGUUAUGGCAUUCAAUUACACUCAGCAUUUAGAGAAAAUAUUAGUAUUUGUGAUGGCAAGCUGGCAAAAAUAAGAUGCAUGGAAUUGAAUAGAAAGGUUUUCACGUCUAGAGUUACUGUUAGGCUAUUAACUAGUAGCAAUUUCAGAGAAUUUUUAGUGAACUGUGCUGUGCAACUGUGCCACCUGUAUGGAUAUUUUGGACAAGAUUUUCAUUUUGGGUUUUUUUUCUUAUUAGAAAAUAACUUACAAGAGUAACUUGUUUCAGAAUUAAUUACUGUGGGAAAGACCUUUGUACUCUGAUUCAGUGUAUUUGUUCUGAUGAAGUGGUCUUUUUGGUUUUUUAUACGAAAUGAGCCUGCUGGUGGCUGUCUUCCUUUAAUUAGGGAACAGUAAUCUAGCACUGCUUCAAUGCCAUCCACACAAAAAGGGGCUUUAUCAAAAAUAUAACUAAUUUACAGUCAUUCAGAGUGCUAUUUUAAUAACACAGCUCAUUGCUUAAAAAGUUAUGAAAAAGUACCUUAAUCAUGUCCUCAGAAAGGAAGCAAGAUAUAAGUUUUAGCCUAGAAAUUCUUAAUUCUGGCUACAUUUAAUAUUUGCUUGGGUAAAAGUUAAAAGUAUGCAUCACUGAUGUCACUUUUUGGACCAAUUAAAAUUGAUUCUCUGGAUUUGGGACCGAAGGAAUUUUAAAAGCUCUCCAGUGACUUGAAUGUAUGGCCAGAGUUGAGAAGCCCUGACGCAGGCAAUGCGGCCAGGCCACCAAACUGUUCACUACUGAAAAUUCAGGGCUUAACUUCUGCAGGUUAUAAAUAAAUUCACUCUGAAGUUGUAAAAUAGUGUCGGGGCAGAUAGUACCACUUUUUGAUAAAUUCUGGCUUUAUUCUAUUUCUAUUCAAUUUAUGAGAAGGAAAAGACCCAGUUCAGUGGCAUUGCUCAUAGGAAAGUCCAGCAAGCUAUGGACAUGAAUGUAAGCCUUGCUCAACUGAGCAAAUCUUAUGUGAUAACAGCAAAAGGAUAGAGAGGAGGUUGAGGAAACUUGUCUCUGUUAGAGGAAAAGUAAGAUUAUAUUGCCUGGGAAUGGGGGAUCAGAAUAGAAUCUUUCUGUAUCACUAUUAUUCCAAAUACUGGAUGACUAUCAACUAGUUCAAAUUUCAGAUUUGAAAACUAUCAAUAGAACUCUGGGCUAUUUUGACUGAAAUAUGAGCAUUUUUCCCUACUUACUAAAAACUUCUGAUGUGAAUAUUUUUCUUUACAUAGUCAUAUUUGUAUAUGUGGUUUGGAGAAAAAAGAAAGAAAAUACAGACAUCAAGUAGAAAUAUAACCACAAAUUAUCCCAAAACGUGGAGAUACUCACUAUUAGCUAGCACGCUGGUACAUAUCUUUCUAGUUCUUUUCCAAUACAUUUUUAACUAAACUGAGAGGUCUACAUUUGUAUUUAAGCUCUUUUUAACCCACUUAUUAACAUGUCACUAGACAUUCGAUAAUACAAUUUAUUAAUGGUUAUGUGAUAUUCUAGCAUGGAGAUGUUCUACAAUUUAUUUAACCACUCCCAUAUUACUAGAAUAUUCAA
Non-coding RNA from Equus caballus (horse), 5037 nucleotides. The record is from RefSeq and is a predicted model, not a curated record. Lineage: Eukaryota; Metazoa; Chordata; Mammalia; Perissodactyla; Equidae.